This 301-nucleotide ribosomal RNA is filed under the name uncultured bacterium. RNAcentral describes it as "partial 16S ribosomal RNA". It matches the Rfam family "Bacterial small subunit ribosomal RNA", at positions 509 to 807 of the family's 1533-position model. The record is from RNAcentral.
CAGCAGCCGCGGUAAAACGGAGGGUGCAAGCGUUAAUCGGAAUUACUGGGCGUAAAGCGCACGCAGGCGGUCUGACAAGUCAGAUGUGAAAUCCCCGGGCUUAACCUGGGAAUUGCAUUUGAAACUGUCAGGCUGGAGUCUGGGAGAGGGGGGUGGAAUUCCAGGUGUAGCGGUGAAAUGCGUAGAGAUCUGGAGGAAUACCGGUGGCGAAGGCAGCCCUCUGGACAAAGACUGACGCUGAGGUGCGAAAGCGUGGGGAGCAAACAGGAUUAGAUACCUGUGUAGUCCCUGUCCCUUAUAC